UACGGGGGGUGCAAGCGUUAUUCGGAAUUACUGGGCGUAAAGCGCGUGUAGGCGGGGAGGUAAGUCUGAUGUGAAAGCCCUGGGCUCAACCCGGGAAGUGCAUUGGAAACUGCCUUUCUUGAGUACUGGAGAGGAAAGUGGAAUUCCUAGUGUAGCGGUGAAAUGCGUAGAGAUUAGGAGGAACACCAGUGGCGAAAGCGGCCUCCUGGACCACUCCUGACACUCAGACGCGAAAGCUAGGGUAGCAAACGGG
This 253-nucleotide ribosomal RNA is filed under the name uncultured bacterium. RNAcentral's name for it is "partial 16S ribosomal RNA". It matches the Rfam family "Bacterial small subunit ribosomal RNA", at positions 524 to 776 of the family's 1533-position model. The record is from RNAcentral.